Non-coding RNA from Megalopta genalis, 1212 nucleotides. The record is from RefSeq and is a predicted model, not a curated record. Lineage: Eukaryota; Metazoa; Arthropoda; Insecta; Hymenoptera; Halictidae.
UGUUGCCUUCUUCACAAACCGAACAACGUAGCACCUUGUGCCUACAAUCUUACAGAGGAUUGCUGUCUUCUACCGACCGGCAAACCGUAAGCAGCUACAGUGUGACGUCAGAAGGGAACCAUUUUGAACCACCUUGAACCAUUUUGUUUUCGCGGAGCGAAUCAUGGUUCGGAAAGCAAUCAACUUCGAUCUUACUGAGACAACCGUGGUAACAGCGGAGGAAGCUUGUAAUCUUCUCGAAAUCCGCCAUAUUGACUUCACCGGUGCCAUGGAACGGCCAUCUUGGAAUGACUAAUUUGCGUGCCGUACAAAUACUUGAGAAUAGAAUUCUCAAUUAAUUUGUGUUGUGAUGUGACUAUGAUUGAUAAUGGAAUUAAUGAAUGCGCAUACGACGUCAGGUUGUUGCAUUACUGAGUUGCUGGUAAUAGGUGACAACUAUAUCAAUGAGUUCAUCUCUGGUGAGUCCGUUUCAUUAUAUUUCCCUAGGAGUUUAUUAAGAAUUAUUAGGCAGAGCUGUGUGAACACAUACAUAUAUGUGCCCAUAAUUAUGAAAGUGGUCUAAGUCAACAAUUUAAAGAAAUUAUAUAAACAUAACUUGAAAAUACCGCGUGGUCCUCUUUGUCGCGUUGCUGAACUACAUAAUAAUGAAAAUAAAAAAAGCAAAUUAUUGCAAACCAAACUCACGUGUAACAACGUGCUCGCUGAGUAUAUACAAAGUCGAUUUUCUCGACAACGGAGCCCUAAGUGGAAAAAAUCUUAUUCCUUAUUUUCGACUUAUUUUUUCAUAUAGAAUCACCUCCAUUGUAUAAUUUUUCUUUUAAUUAAUUGAAUUUAAUCUGUUCAUAUUUUUAUUAAUAUAUAUUUAGUGUUUUUCUAUAUAAUCUGUAUCUGUAGGACAUUAACGCACAAACGUCACCUGAAAACGAGAUCAUGUAUUCGAAUGGUUGUACUCGAAUUAGAAAAAUUAAUUCCUAAAAAGAAAUCAUUCUUAUUAAGACCUAAUUUCUGUGCAUAAAUUUGAACAUUAACAAUCACAUAUCUGUUUGAACCGCUCAAAUGAACAUGGUAAUAUACGUAUAUAAUACUUGUAUUGUAUGUAUUGUAAUAAGUAGACUCUGCCGAUUUUUUAGGCAUUUAUAAUAAAAAUGAAUAAGAAUUUGAGAAAUUUAAGAAUAAUGUCACAUUACGUUCAACUUAUUACAAUUAUAAGAA